This 6215-nucleotide long non-coding RNA is filed under the name Solanum lycopersicum (tomato). Its description in RNAcentral is "long non-coding RNA (SLYC_LNC000496)". Lineage: Eukaryota; Viridiplantae; Streptophyta; Magnoliopsida; Solanales; Solanaceae. The record is from RNAcentral.
UCCAAAGUCCCUUAGAAAUUCCCUAGAACUCUAUUGGAGCCAAAAUUCAAGGAAGGGAUUGGAUUGGAGAAUUGAAUGGAGAUUCUUCAUCAAAUUUAAGAAUUAGAUCCGUUGAGGUAUGGUUUUUGAUCCUUAAAACUCUAUUCAUCAAGUAGCCCAACUUUCAAAGAAUUUUCUGAAGUUUUCAAAGAUGACUGGUCCAAUUUUAUGAUCUAUACAUGGGUUAUUGCAUUAAAGGUUUUUAAGCAUUAUAUAUUGAUUAAAAUGUUCUUAAUUAGAUGAUUUUAACUCAAUUAACCUAUGAACCCAUGUAAUUGAUGAACCCUAGUUUUUGACUACUUUAUGGGUUGACUAAAUGCUUAUGAAUUCUAGUGUAGUUUUCUAUGGGCUAAUGAAUGAUGUAAUAAUUGUAUUCAAUUGAUGUAUAGAUUGUGUUAUAUUGAUGAAUCUAUAUUUAAUUGACCUAGUUUCAUUGAGUAUGAUGGUUUUUAUAUUGAAUUGAUGUUCAUGACCAUGGGUAAGGGCCUUAUGGUAUUGAAUUGGAUAAUUUAGCAUCGGAUUGAGGUGUUGAGGAUGGAGUGGUGGUAUUCUACCCUAAUUCCCUUUAUUUCAAUAUAUUUGUGUAGUUGUUAGAUCUUUGAAAUCUACCGUUUUAUAUAUGUCAUGACAUUAAUAAUAUAUAAGAAAAUUUAUUUAAAAUAAAAUAAAAAAUUUAAAGUCAUUUAUUUUCAAACAUAAAAUAUUUUGUAAUAUUUUUUUUGCAGCCUGAUUAGGUAAUUAGAAAAUAAUGCAAAUAAAUUGGAAGGGAUGGAAACACCAUAUAUCUCUCUUUAUUAGAAGUGACACUUGAGGAGUACGAACACUGCUAUAUGUAGUUGUACUAAGGGCCCGUUUGGCCAUAAAUUUUCCAAAUAAUAUUUGGGAAAAAUUUGGCAAAUAAUGUUUGUCCAUAUAAUUUGCCAUUAUUUGCCAAUUAUUUUUGACAAAUAUCCCAAAUUUCCAAAUACUAGUUUUUUCUAGUAUUUGGGCCAAAUCUCAUUAUUUGGGAUCUUUUAAAAAUUAAAAUUUUACCCCAAUCUUUUAUCUUUUACAAAAACACCCUCUCUAGUAGUUGCUUGCGUUGUAUUACAUCAUUUUUUACGUGAACACCAAAAUAGUGAUGAAAUAUGUAGUGAAUAUUAAAUAAUGAUAUGAUUGUUGAUGAAAAUUAUUAACAAUUGGCUUUAGGUAACAAAGUCAUGUACUUUGUCUACUUCACGAUGUAUGGAAUAAUUCUUGUUGCACUCACUUCAAAUUACCACACUGCUUUAGUGUCAUGGACAUUAUUUGUUAUUGUUGUAACGAACAUUCAUUGACUUGUAAUACAAACUCUUAGUUAAUUUUGAUUGUUUUUAAAACUUGUGUGUAUAAAUCAUAUUUUUCUAAUAAGGUGAAAUAUAUUUCCCAAAUUUUAUGGCCAAACACAUGGUGAAAUUUCACCCAAAUUUUCACUCAAAUAAUAUUUGCCAAGAAUAUUUGGAAAUCUAUGGCCAAACGCUAGCUAAAACUAGCAAAAUGUGUACAAUAAAUUAGGCCUAUUUUGAGUUCAAUGCCCACGUGUAUGUAUUUUAGGUCAAUGACCUCCAAGUUUUCUUUUUUUGACAGACAUGUAAGAAACAACUGAUUUCUUUUUUAUCUCUCUUUUCUCUGUAAAAUUGAUGCAUUUCUUCCUCCAAAUUAGUCUUGGUCGAAGAGUUGUAGGCAUUUUCUUUUUUUUUCUUUUUAUUUUUCUGAAAAUUUUUAGCAACUAGCAGUUGCAUUGGCAUUUGGCAAGGCUAUCCAAUAGAGCCUCUCUCACCGGAAAAUGAGUACCACGAAAUUAUUCAAAAUUCCCAACUUUUCUGGAACAAGCUUCAACAAUACUCCACAUCACUGCCUACCAAUUUCAAGUUAGUCCAAUUUUCUCUCUUUCUUUCCAUUUUAUGACUUCAAAAUGUAUUUGGAACAGUUUACUCCGUGCAAGUAUUUGAGGUAUAAAAUAAUAGGGUAAUAGUGUGUAAAACCUUUGCAUACAAGACAAGUAAAUUUUAACUUACAUGUAAUUGUACUCGAUUUGCUUCGAUGAUUUUACUUUGUUAUCAUCUAAUUAGUGUCUAACUAAAUUAUCUUGCUCAAAAUUUAAGGUGGCAAAUUGAAAUGUAAAAUUGAAUCGUCCAGAUUAUGCACUUAAGGUGCUUGAUGAUAUGUCCGAUUAUCUUAUUAUAAAUAGUCUUUGUCUUUUUAGAUUUUAGCAGAGAAAUAUCAAGGACAGCUGAUGAUCGUGCUUGAGUCUGAGGUCAACUACCAUUGAAGAUUUGAAUUAUCUUAUUGCUAAUGCAAGGUAUCAGUUUCUGCUACAGUUCUGUUUUGUUAUGUCUGCGUGAAAACAUGUAAAGUACCAACACAGUUCAUGUGAAUUUGUUAAGGAACACUUUUUUCAGUUCAAGUAUGUUUUUAAAUAUGUUGCAAUUCAUUCUAAGAGGGUCUGGAAACAAAAGAAGAUUGUGUAAAAUGAUAUUCGACAGAGAAAGGAAUAGGAAUAACAACAUUAAGCUUCUUGAAAGUUUAAACAAAUCUAAAUAGCACGUGAAAUCUAAUAAGUAAAUAUCGAGCAAGUGUUUACAUCAUAUUCUUCUGUGAAUUGUCUUAGCAGGGGUAGCUCGACAGUUUUAAAAAAACACAUGUGCCUUAGGACCCCAAAUUUGAAGGGGGCUCAUUUUAAAUAGUAAUAGGUUAUAGGUUUUUUUUUUUAACAAAUAUUAAAUAUUAUUUGUAGAAAAAGUAAACUUUUCAUGAAAAUGAAGGAAUCAUUAGAAGAAAAUUGACAUAUUUGGAGUACUGCACAUCAUGAAAAAUAAUUUAAAAUAAAAAUGAUUAUACUAUCAGUUGAAAAUUAGAAGAAAUCGUUUAUAUAAAAGUUCUUAACAAUUCAAGUUUAAGGCCCCAUUUGAUUUUUGCUUUGCCACUAAUAUGCUUGAGCCGCUCUUGUGUUUUAGCUAUUAUGGUGGUGUACAUAUGUCAGGGUCAACCACAUGCAUAUUCUAUAUAAUUUACACUGCAAUAUUAAUUUAUGUAGAUUGUUAAAUAUCUUUUAAGAUGCAGUGUUGAUAUUUUUACCUAUUUCAUAGGAUACUACAAGAAUUAUCCCAUCAUGUAAUAUGCAGUUUUGACUUUACAUCUUGCAGUAUUCUAUAAAAGUUGCAGGUCCGCUGUGUGAUGUUUUUUAUAUUAUGAUGUGUGAUUCUAUAAAAAUUCUCUGUGUGUGUUGCUUCGUAUUAUUAUUAAGUACCUAUUCAAAGGUAGCUGGUGGAUGUGAACCUGAAUAUAACUACAGCCUGCAUUCUGUCAAUAUGACAAAAAUGUGUAGAGAGAUUAAUUUGAUUCAUUCAUCAACCCAAAUUCUGACUCGAAGUGAGACCCUAAAAUAAUAAAGUAGGACGUAGCUAUGUGGACAUGUGUAAUCUGGAUGGUCAAUGAACCAAUAUCAUAUGAGGAGUAAAGUUGGUUUUCAUAGUUCUUAUUGGUCAAAGCAACGCAUGGCCAUUUCACACAUGACUUGAGUACGCAGGAAGCUGUCUGAAAAUUCUCAAUUGUCUCUCCAUCUUAUUUUUGUUCUGCUUGCUAGACAAAAGUAUAUGUGGGUAUCUUUCAUGCUCAGUACAGAAUCGGUAAGAAAUUAAAUAAAUAUAAAUAUUGUACACAAUUGUAUGUUCAAAACAUUACAAUGCCCAUAACAAGGAAAAAUGGAAUUGGACUGAAAAGGCCUAAACUUGAGAAAGAAGGAAAAAGAACAUACAUGACACUACCGUAAUAGGACUUGCCGCACUUCUUGAAACGAAAAUACCAAGACUAUGACUGCAUCACCUUAUGUUGUUCAACACAUGUAGGUGCCUUGGAUGCUUGACACUUCCACAUUGGCCUCUCAAGCGGAAAAAUGGGAUUAUUACGUGUAGUACCUUUGCUAAUGUUCUCAUCGAAUGAUGAUGAACUAUUCGAUUUCAAAUCCUCUUUAGGGCUUGGUUGAUCCCUGAAGCUACAAACGUUAAGUGAUAACUUUUUCUGCUUAAGCCCUCCUUUUUUUUUUUCUCAAUACAGUAACUAUCAUUUACAGAAGCCCCAACUUUCUCCUCUGGGAUAAGUGAUUCUCAUUCCUUUAAUCCGUAUUUACAUAGUCAGCUACUAGAGUGUGAUGCUUCCCCGUUUUUCAUAUGUGUGUGGUCAGAUUUACUGAAUUUUCUGUUUAAAUCUACUCUAAGAAAAGUCCUGCACUCUCCAAAAAUAUUAUUGCAUCUUUGUUGGAUCCUCCAAGAAUGUACUAUUUUUGAAGGAUCUGACACACACCCAAUAACAUUUUUUAAGAGUCCGAGCAACAUGGAUUUUACCCAUCAUAAAUAAAAGCUAAUGAAGAUUCCCAUCAUACUGCCACAUUGGUGUUAAAUAUUGAUCUUGAUAUAUUACAUGCUGAAUUGUAAGACUCCAUAAGAGAAAAACAUGUGAGACAAUCAUUAUAAUUGGAACACCUUCAAUGGUGGUAGUUGGUCAUGUUAUGACACUUCAUGGUCGCGUUGCCUCAAUAUUAAUUGAGCUUGGUUUGUUAAUUAGGAGUAUGUGAAGAGGUUCUGCAGGAGCAGAAACAAGUCCAAGAAAGAGACUAUUAUGAAGCGCACCUAGAAAUAUGAGGUUGAUGAAUAAAGAAGAUAUUUAUUCACAGUUGAAGAAACUGAACAAGUAUGCUUGUGUCAUUCAUGUGUUGGUUCAAGAUUGUUUUUGGCUGACACAUUACAGUAGAUUGGCUUUUGAUUUAUAAAAACAAAAACAUCCCUGCUUGACUGGGUGGUACCUUCUUUCUACAAAGUUUGUCUUGAAGAUGAGGUUGUAAUGUUCAUUAAUCUUCCUUCUUCGAUUGAUUUAUUUUUAUGUGAAAUAUUUCUUGAUGAGAAGAUAUUUGUAAAUCUACAGUUGACAGACUAAUCAGGAUAUAGAAAAGAAUGCAUAGCUUUACCGGGUUGAAGAAAAAUGAAUAAGAUCGGUAAAAUUUCCAACUUGACUGAAUGAGACUUCGACUGCACAACUUCACUUAACUUUCAUGUUGUCUGUUGGAGAAGAGAGAAUAUUAUUCAAAAAUAAAUGUAAGUUGUAUUUUUAAGUCUUUCAAGUACAUUCCAAAUUAUUUUUUGCACCUUUUAAAUUUUGUGUCCCUGUAACACAUUUUCUGUGGAAAAAGAAUUGUCGAAUUGUAGUUUGUAUAUUAAUAAUGACUGCUGACUGAUUUUCUGUGUUAAUUGAGCUCCUCUAAAGGUCCCUAAGAGAACACGAGUAUACUUCUACUAUGAGAAGACUGUUUAAAUUGUUUUUAUUUGUUGCUUAUUUUAUUUUAUUUUUUUUGUAUAGAACAUACAAAGUUUAUUAUGUUUGUGCAGUUUAUUCGUCAUGAUUGAGAAGGAACUUAUAGCACAUAAAUGGUUAUGAGAUGAAGAUGAAAGCAAAAGUUAAUAGCAUGAUAUAUGCUAUUUGAUCUUUUAUGAUUUUGUAAUUUGUGUUUGAUUGUUUCUUCUAGCUUGCUUUUGCAAGAGUUUCUUAAUGGUUUGCUAUUUGUCUUAUGAUAUAUGACUUAUUUAUCACGUUAUUACGAAUUAAUUUUUUAUCAGCUAUGUCAUCUCCAUAUUCCCUUUAUAGGUUGUGAUUGCAUACACAAUUUUUCUUCAUGUUUCAUCCAUAGGGAAGAUCCAAUCGUUACUAGAUCAAAAGCUGAUUUCUCGGGUAGUAGGUGAAUUUGAUUCCGCGGGGCUGCUUUCAUUUGGCGUUUUCUUCCUUUUGUGUAAAGAGAUGAAAUAAUGUACUGUUUGUCUUGAACUUGAUUGUCUAAGUCAAAUUUAUUAGCCAUUAUUGGUGUAGUUUUGUUUUGGAUAUAUGCAAUGCCUAUAUUACUUGGGAAGACAUUCUCCCGUGUAAAAUAAGUACUUAUACGACCUAUUUUUACAUUAAAGUAGUUAUGUCUUUAUGUUUUCUUUUUGACAACUUUACAUCAAAUAACUGCAAAACAAAAAUUACUUUAGAAUAUCAAAUAUUGGGCCCGUGUUCGGCACGGGCCAUACUUCUCUAGUGUGUGUGUGUGUAUAUAUAUAUAUAUAUAUAUGUAUAUGACUAAUAAUAAAUAUAUAGAAAUAACAAGUGACACAUAAAUAUAUAGUAGUAAC